This 364-nucleotide ribosomal RNA is filed under the name Calanus sp. RNAcentral's name for it is "partial small subunit ribosomal RNA". It matches the Rfam family "Eukaryotic small subunit ribosomal RNA", at positions 582 to 975 of the family's 1831-position model. The record is from RNAcentral. Lineage: Eukaryota; Metazoa; Arthropoda; Copepoda; Calanoida; Calanidae.
AUUCCAGCUCCAAUAGCGUAUAUUAAAGUUGUUGUGGUUAAAAAGCUCGGUUUGCUUGCUAGUAUUACUGCCCUAUAGUCCGUAGUUUUGCCAGAGGUUUCGAGGUGCUCUUAAUCGAGUGUCCCGGGAUGCUGGCAGGUUUACUUUGAAAAAAUUAGAGUGCUCAAAGCAGGCUAUUACGCCUGAAUAUUCGUGCAUGGAAUAAUAGAAUAGGAAGUCGUUUCUAUUUUGUUGGUUUUCGGAAAUCGACUUAAUGAUUAAUAGGGACAGUCGGGGGCAUUUGUAUUCAAACGACAGAGGUGAAAUUCUUGGACCGUUUGAAGACAAACUACUGCGAAAGCAUUUGCCAAGAAUGUUUUCAUUA